GGGGACAUGGUCUAGCCCGCUUUACAAGGCAUAUCGCCAUAAAGGCGAAGUAGGACGACCUUGGCACCGCAAUCGCCGUGCCAACGCCAACGGCUCCAGACCGGUUGAUCACGAGUUCAAAUCUCGUUGUCCCCA
Molecule: transfer RNA, 135 nt
Filed under: Candidatus Bathyarchaeota archaeon
Lineage: Archaea; Thermoproteati; Candidatus Bathyarchaeota
Description: tRNA-Trp
Rfam family: tRNA
About the family: Transfer RNA (tRNA) molecules are approximately 80 nucleotides in length.
Source: RNAcentral